UACGGAGGGUGCGAGCGUUGUCCGGAAUCACUGGGCGUAAAGGGCGCGUAGGCGGACAGUUUAGUCAGAGGUGAAAGCCCAGGGCUCAACCUUGGAAUUGACUUUGAUACUGGCUGUCUUGAGUUCGGGAGAGGUGAGUGGAAUGCCGAGUGUAGAGGUGAAAUUCGUAGAUAUUCGGCGGAACACCAGUGGCGAAGGCGACUCACUGGCCCGAUACUGACGCUGAGGCGCGAAAGCGUGGGGAGCAAACAGG
Molecule: ribosomal RNA, 253 nt
Filed under: uncultured bacterium
Lineage: Bacteria
Description: partial 16S ribosomal RNA
Rfam family: Bacterial small subunit ribosomal RNA
Source: RNAcentral